Molecule: transfer RNA, 75 nt
Filed under: Marmota monax (woodchuck)
Lineage: Eukaryota; Metazoa; Chordata; Mammalia; Rodentia; Sciuridae
Description: tRNA.Ala
Source: RNAcentral
GGGGUUGUGGCUCAGCGGUAGAGCACUCGCUCACCUAGCACGUGCGAGGCCCUGGGUUCAAUCCUCAGCACCACA